AUUUCUAAGGUCCUUUUUAGACGCACAUGUAUCCACGCCAAUAUGUCUGUGUUGAAAUGGACACGCAUAUAUUGAGUUUAGAGCAACUCGAAGGAACUCUUUAUAUUCUGACUAAUUUAUAGGAAUAGAGAUUUCGGUGAAAAAGUAUUCUCCAACAGCUUCUUUAACUUAAUCUCCAAAUAUAAAUAUCUUCUGUUGCAGCCAAAGAUGAAGAGGGAGGAUAGCUCUCUAGAAUGUAUUUUGAAUUCUUUAUACCUUAUCUAAACCUGAGUUCAAGCUAAGAUCACUAACUCAUUGUUAUGCUGAAUAUGUGCAUACUGUUUGAAUUUAUAAGAUAAAAAUUGAUUAGGCGUACCUCUCUUUUUAUAAACCAUGGUAUGCAAAUGGCGCUUCAACCUGUGGGAUUAAAGAAGAAAAUACUGCUUAAUGGUCUUUUCUUUUCUGUUUAUAACAUCUAGCUUUCUGUUUAUAACUCGAGUUGAGGAAGUCAUACUAUAAAAAUCUGAGGACAUGCGGAAUAGAAACACAUUAGAAUAAAGAAGCGACUAACGUUAAUUCAUGAUACUUCAUCUGAAUCUGGUUAAAGCUGUGAAGGUAGAAGUGAUUGUUCAUAGAGUAAAAACUAGAAAUUAAUGAUCUCACAGAGGUUUGCUGUAUUAAUUCAUAAUCCUGUCAUAUUAUCUUGGAUGCUGUUAGGUAUCUUUGAAUAAGAUCCUUUGCAGACUGUACUCAUACUUCCAUCAUAAUGAAAUAUCACAACAUAGGAUUUGUUGUUGUGCAUUGGCUUCUACUCCGUAAGAUCUUAAUAUCAUUUUUUGGUUGCAUGCCUUUUGUGUUAUAUCAUCAUCUUUGUUUGGAUGUGCAUCUAUCUCACUAGCUACUUAAGGGUGUGUUUGGUUUGGCUUUGGCUUUUGCUCCCUAAAAGCCAAACCAAAGGUUGGAUUCAGAAAGCAGCUUUUUCUAAAAGCCGACUUUCUCGCAGUGUAAAACUGAAAGCACAUCUGGACCUGCGUUUUGUGACUUUUAGAUGGAACUGUGAAAAUAUAUAUGGAAGAAUUUUUAGCGGCUUUUAGUGGUUUUCACCAAACGGUUUUUAGAUUUUUAGCAGUUUAUAGUUCACAAUAACUUUUUUCACAGCUCACAGCCCACAACAGCUUUUUUUACAGCCACGCCCCAACCUAACAAACCCUAAUACCUGUUUGGCUGUCCCAAAUUUUCUCCAUUUAGCCUUUGAUUAUGGGUUUAUUAUUUUUGUUAACGAUGAACCAUGAAUUUCUUGCUAUAAUAGAAAACAGAAAACUGCAAUGUGAAGUACAGCGGGUCGAUGUCUUCAAAGAGCAAUCCUGUUCUUUUGUCCUUAACCGUUUGGUUAAUUACAUCAAGUGUCCCUGAAUAUACAAGUGUCCCCUGAAUAUACAUCACGUACCUAACACCACUCUACUGCCACCCCCCCUCUCCCCUUGCAAAUUCACAGUAUUUUAGGCCUCAUCACUCAUCAGUCGUAGCUUGUUGUCACAGUGCAGAUUUCAGUAUGUCUUUCAAGAUUCAGCUAUUGUCCUCCAUUGCCAUUUUUGCUUUUGCCUUGCAUCUUCACCCUUGUGUGUCCACUGAGUUUCGCCGUGAGCUCUCCAGCUGGACCACUGGCAUAGCUACGUGGUAUGGCGAUGCUAAUGGCGCCGGAAGUGAAGGUAAUAGUUACAUAAUCCAUUGUCUCAACGGUCACCAAUAAUAGCUCACCUAAAACUGGCGUGUCCCUUGAAUAGUUAAUUUCUAAUGAAUGCAUGUCUCAAUUACACCCUUUGUAGGUGGUGCAUGUGGGUACCAAUAUGCUGUUGACCAACCACCGUUCUCGUCCUUGAUUGCUGCCGGCAGCCCCUUCAUCUAUGACUCUGGCAAUGGAUGUGGCUCUUGCUAUCAGGUGUGUGCACCACUUUGUGAUUGAGGCUAUUGCAUUCACCAUUCAGGCAUGGCUGCUGCUAUUUGACAUUUAGAAAUGCUGAUUCAUCAGGUGGUAUGCUCUAGCAAUCAAGCUUGCUCUGGUUACCCGGUGACUGUUGUCAUCACCGACCAGGGCCCUGGUGGUGGCCCAUGCCUGAGCCAAGCAAGCGAUGGCAUGUGCAUGAAUGAGGGAGCCCACUUUGACAUGAGUGGAACUGCAUUUGGCGCCAUGGCAAAGCCCGGAAUGGCCGAUCAACUCCGUGCUGCUGGCCUGCUACAAAUCCAAUACACUCGGUAUGUACAGUGCUUCAUGGACAUAGCUGCACUGCACCAAAAUGGCUGCUUGCAAGCAACUAUGAACUACCCCAUGUCUUCUAACCUAUUUACGCUGACUUUUGUCACGAUGCAUGCAUUUUAUGGAUAUGCAGUGUGCAGUGUGAAUGGCCUGGAGUUGAUGUAACCUUCUCUGUUGACUCCGGCUCGAACCCGAACUAUCUGGCUGUGCUCAUCGAGUACGAGGACUGCGAGAGCGAUCUUUCAGCCGUCGACAUCAUGCAGAGCUCAGCAGGGCAAUGGGUGCCGAUGCAGCAUUCGUGGGGUGCAAUCUGGAGGCUCGACUCUGGCUCUGCUCUUCAGGGCCCGUUCCACCUCCGCUUGACGUUCAGCUCAGGCCGGGUACUCAUAGCCAGCAAUGCCAUACCUGCAGGAUGGAAUGCGGGUGUGGCGUACCGGGCAGGCGGAGUGGCGGUGACUAGGGCCAGGCCCAGGAGUGGUGGCAGCCAGGCCGGUGAGGCUGCUGCUGGAACAUUUAGAGGUUUGGUGUAUCACCUUCUGAUGUUUGUGGUAUUGGCGUUGUGAAUUAUGAUGCAAAUGCAUCUUUGGUAGUUUAGAGGUGUAAAUUUAACAAAUUUAGGACUACCCAGGGAUUUUAGAUGUGCAUUUUGAUGUUUUCUUGUAGCUGAGGUCUGAGAGGGGGGAGUGAUGUUAACGUUUUUGUUGUGGUUGAGUUAUCAGCAUGCAACUGAUCAGGUUGGAUGGUAGUCCUUGCAUGUAAAUACACAUUUGGUGAAACUGUUUAGGUUAAGUCUUUAGUUCCUUUAUGGAAGAGAUGUCUUCUUUCUAGCUUUUUAUUUGAUUUCGAGGUGUUUUUCAUGGAUCGAAUACCACUAGUCAUUGAGUUAGUAAACAAAUUGUUUUUCUGACAGUAUUGAGUUGAAAUUUGUUGUUUCGAGUUAAAAGAUUGAGUUUGUAAAUUACAUGAGUCUUUAAACAAAUGCUUUGAAGUACAAAGUGAGAAUCCUACUUUUCAAUUUUUCAUCUGGAGAGUCUUAAUCUCAGGUUUCGUAGUAGUUUUUUGUUACUGUACUGUAGCGCAGUGCAGUGAGAAGCGUAACUACAUAUCUGAUCUCUGUAGUCUAAUUCAGGACCAACGAGUUUGGCUAAACUUUCAUCAUUGGGCAACUCCCCGUACCAAACUGUAGUAUGCACAGAGCACUGCUGAAUUUCACGCUACGAUUUUUGGCUCCUAUAGGCGACAGAAUACUUUCAAGACCAUGAGAUGCUUGAUUUCCUGUUAUUCCCUCCUAAGGACAGACUAGCCGGGUCGAGAGAAUGUUAAAUAAAAAGUGACACAAAAUGGGACAUGUUUGUAUGAUGACCUCGCUAACCUGACUAGGCUCAGUCAACCACAACCCUUCAAAACUGAGUACUUGAGGUUGCUGCCUGGGCUUGGCAAAUUUGUUCGGUCAACAACCAAACAGACUCAUAAGCGAAGAACAUGCAUGAUUAGUUGCCUAAAAUAGCUAUUCUGUUGCUCCAAAUUAUCUCUCACUUUAGUUUUGUACUAAGUAAAGUUUCUCUAAUUUUGACCAAGUUUAUAGAAAUAAAGAUAUUAACAUAUGCAGAUUUAAACCUAAUCGCUAGUAAAAUUAGUUAACUAACAAAUAGCUAGUCUAUUCGUUUGGCUUUAAUUCUUAUCGGUUUCUCCUGUUUCUAUAUUGUUUUUGUCUCCAUACAUUGCAGCUGUAGAAGUCUAAACAUGAUACUUUAAUCCGAAACAAACAAUCCUGUUAACUAAUUUGCUAAAAAUAGCUAAUAGCUAAACUAUUAGUUAAGUGUUUAAAUGUCUCUAGCUAAUUUUAGCUGCUAACUGGCUCUAGAGUUUUCAAACACGCCCUAAAAUUGUCGGCCGUGAACAACAAUAAUGUUGCCGACUUGCUGUCCAUUUCUAUCAGCUUAGCUGUCGUGUUGUAAGCUUAGACACAACAUAAGAGAAUCGAUGCUAUUUGUUCUUCCACACUAGUCUCUUCUAGCUACGAUAACCCCAUAAUUCUCCCUCUCAGUUCGGAUGGUGACGUGGCCGCCACGUGGGGUGGCUGAUACUUGACUGACAGUGAUGGGCUGAUGGCAUCCAUCUAGCAAACUGCAAACCAGGUCAUCUCUGAAUUUCCCCAACAAAGAGCGAGCAUAAACCCCGCUAUACCCGCUUCCUUCUCUCCAAUCUCCGGUGCUCGCAUCCCGCUCCGCCUCCAUGCGCCGCGGCAGUUCCACGACGCCAGUCCUCUCACCUCUGUCCUGACCCAACACCCGGGCGGCUGGAACCCGCAGGUGCGCUUAGUGCCGCUCGAGGAGGCUCGCCGUUUGCUGGAUUCGUUCUGUCCUUUGCCGGCCGGCAUUGUGCCCUCCGCGGCGGCGACAGGGGCGUGCGCGGUGCUGCUGUAGGGGAGGGUGACGGCCAUCUCCCUGGUCGGCCGCGGCCCGGGCUGGUGGCGUGCGGUUGCGUCUCGACUCUGCUUUUUACCGUUGCUUGCUACUCUAUCUACCGCCUGUACAGGUCUACUGAAAUUCCACUAUUCUGCCGUUGUAUGCUUUGUGCUGUUGUUGAGCAGAGGAAGACGGAUUCACAAAGCACGGUGCUCCCCAAGUCUAGCAGGUAAGACCGUAAGACCCUCAGCUGUCGUCCUUAUUGGUAGCUUUGUUCAGAGUGGUAAUCAUUUUUAAGAAAAAUGGUACAGUAAUGGAUAAUUUACACUUCAUGUUCCAGUAUUAUACUGUACAUAUUACAAAGGUCUGGUUCUCUUUUUCAGAGGAACCAGAGUUCACUCAGUAUAGGUUAUUUUUUAUCUCGGUAGCUCCAGUCUAUAUUUAAUUACACGUAGAGUAGGUACCAUAGUUAUAUAUAUAUAUAGUCAUAUAUAUAACACUAUAUAUAGAUAUAUACUUAUAUAGUGUAGACUAUAGAGACUUGCAGCAGUAUAAAUAGUCCAAUAUUCAAUCUUGAAUAGUCUAAAACAGCAGUACAUCUAGCUUACUAGACCAUAACAGCAGCAACAAGUUUAUUCAAUACUUGAAUAGUUCAUAACAGCACAGCAGCAACAAAUUUAUAUGAAACUGCAAGUCUAUAACUUACUAGACCAGUAGACCAUGACCAAGAAGGCUUCAGAUGAGGAGCUCAUCUCUAGUCCCUGUGUUCUCUUUUCUCCCAGCCGAUGUAGAGAGAAAGAUGUUGCUAUGUUGGAGCCUUGGAGGGAGAGAGAAGGGUGAAAAAGGGAGAAGGAAGGGAGCUGUGAG
This 5508-nucleotide long non-coding RNA is filed under the name Zea mays. Its description in RNAcentral is "long non-coding RNA (ZMAY_LNC000048)". The record is from RNAcentral. Lineage: Eukaryota; Viridiplantae; Streptophyta; Magnoliopsida; Poales; Poaceae.